UGUGGAUGAGACUACCUUGAUGCGGGAAGUUCUCCUCUACAUAUGUUUCUCUUAUUUGUUGAUUACUGUGGAAAUAUUAACCUGCACAAAGUGAGGAUGUCCUAUGAUAUUUUAUUGAGGGAGAAGUCACUUACAUGAGAAGCCAAGAAAGCUGAGAACCAAAGGUCUGCACAUUGCUCUCCAAGAUGUGACCAGAACCCAAAUGGAGAACAUCUCCUUCCUCCCAGCUCUUUUAACCCCCAUAUGUUCAACAUGCCUGUGACCACUGCUGCGGUGUUACACAUAUUUUUUAGAAGAUUGAAACAAUAAGAUCCAGUAGUUGUUUUAUUUGCUGCUCCUGAAUUGAAUUAUCAUCCCAGAACUUCAUUUUAUCAUUACCGAGUUAAAAAUUUCUUAAUGAAGAAUACUGCCUCACUGAGCCUUGCUUCAUCUGACAAUUAGAGGAAUGGUUUAAAAUUCCUGACGGCCAGACUACAUCUUAAAGCAUCCAGAGACAACGGUGGCUUUCACAGAAGCAGAGCAGGGAGAACAGGCAAGCACCAUGACUCCAACAGGACAGCAAAAAUUCUUCAUCACCAGCAGCUGAGUUGGAAUUCAUGAUUCCUGCAUAUAGCUUCCAAUUUAAAAAGCUAGAAAACCGAACGUUAAAGUCCUGAUAUUUUCCACCUUGUGAAAGCUGGAAAAACGAAUUUGAAACCUGUUAUGUAGACAACCUUAUAAGCCAAAGUAAACUCAACCUUCUAACAGAUUUCUUAUGAGAAUACUGAAUAAAUGUUUUUUCUCGUUUGUAAAAC
Mesocricetus auratus (golden hamster) is the source of this 794-nucleotide long non-coding RNA. RefSeq lists it as uncharacterized. The record is from RefSeq and is a predicted model, not a curated record. NCBI's taxonomy places the organism in Eukaryota, Metazoa, Chordata, Mammalia, Rodentia, Cricetidae. The transcript is spliced from 4 exons.